GAGACAGCAGUAGCCACGGUAAUACGUAGGGUGCAAGCGUUAAUCGGAAUUACUGGGCGUAAAGCGUGCGCAGGCGGUUAUAUAAGACAGAUGUGAAAUCCCCGGGCUCAACCUGGGAACUGCAUUUGUGACUGUAUAGCUAGAGUACGGCAGAGGGGGAUGGAAUUCCGCGUGUAGCAGUGAAAUGCGUAGAUAUGCGGAGGAACACCGAUGGCGAAGGCAAUCCCCUGGGCCUGUACUGACGCUCAUGCACGAAAGCGUGGGGAGCAAACAGGAUUAGAGACCCCUGUAGUCCCUGUCUCUUAUAC
Molecule: ribosomal RNA, 308 nt
Filed under: uncultured bacterium
Lineage: Bacteria
Description: partial 16S ribosomal RNA
Rfam family: Bacterial small subunit ribosomal RNA
Source: RNAcentral